This 519-nucleotide ribosomal RNA is filed under the name uncultured eukaryote. RNAcentral's name for it is "SSU rRNA". It matches the Rfam family "Eukaryotic small subunit ribosomal RNA", at positions 1161 to 1705 of the family's 1831-position model. The record is from RNAcentral.
AGGGCACCACCAGGAGUGGAGCCUGCGGCUUAAUUUGACUCAACACGGGGAAACUCACCCGGCCCGGACACCGUAAGGAUUGACAGAUUGAUAGCUUUUUCAUGAUUCGGUGGAUGGUGGUGCAUGGCCGUUCUUAGUUCGUGGAGCGAUUUGUCUGGUUUAUUCCGAUAACGAGCGAGACUCUAGCCUACUAAAUAGUUCGCACAUUGUCUCUGUGUGUGUGACUUCUUAGAGGGAUUUUCGGUGUUCAGCCGCACGAAAUUGAGCAAUAACAGGUCUGUGAUGCCCUUAGAUGUCCGGGGCUGCACGCGCGCUACACUGGCAAAAUCAGCGUGCUUGUCCUUCCCCGAAAGGGGCUGGUAAACCCUUGAAAAUUUGCCGUGAUUGGGAUUGGAAAUUGCAAUUAUUUUCCAUGAACGAGGAAUUCCAAGUAAGUGCGUGUCAUCAGCUCGCGUUGAUUACGUCCCUGCCCUUUGUACACGCCGCCCGUCGCUGCCCGGGACUGAGCCAUUUCGAGAA